RNAcentral lists this long non-coding RNA (2295 nucleotides) under Gallus gallus (chicken). RNAcentral's name for it is "lncRNA (ENSGALG00010003493.1)". Lineage: Eukaryota; Metazoa; Chordata; Aves; Galliformes; Phasianidae. The record is from RNAcentral.
GGGGGAUACUGUGUGUCAUAUUCAGAAAAUAUCAUGGGGUAGGGAAGAACCUACUCAAGAAGCUGACAGAUAGGGCACCAAUAUCUUCUUCUGGGUGACUGCCUUCUGGGACAGAACAUAUUGCUGUUUUCUCCCAGUCAGCUGAGCUAAAGAAGGUGCCAGAACAGCAGCUGUGUAGUAGUGAAGAGCAAGCCACCCAGUCUUCUAUGGAAACACAGUACUCAAUGAAUGUGACAGAUGGCAGCAGAGGGGCAGUCUGACACAACGGCCUCUGAUGUGGAAGUGUGGAUCAAGUAAAGGUGUGUCACUGAAUUCCUUCAUGCAGAAAAAAUUGCACAGGUGUGCCUGCUGAGCAUUGAUGGAGACCAACCAGUGGAUGUGAGCACAGUUAGGCAGUGGGUGGUAGGCAUUUCAGCAGUGGAGACAGCGGGUUACUUCCACUGGUGCAGACUGUUAUGUGUGGCUCUUUUUCAUCACUGUUGAAAAUGCAACGCUCAUGGUGGUCACAGCUGAAAAAUCGUGUUUUGUAUUUAAGAAUUUGCUCUAUCAAACUGUGUUAUUGUGCCCUUUGUAUCCACUGUAGUUUCCGUGGAAAUAAAUAGAAGGCAUUAUGUGUGGAGCAACCUACAUACAUUCUGCUGGAUCUGGAAGUCCAAGAGAGGCAAGGCCUCUGCAACGCUGCACGCCUAGGUGCCUCCAGUAGUGAGCCUGAAAAUGUAUGUCCAGGAGGUACCUGCACACAGAGCACAUAGAUAUAUAUAUACCAGAUGCAUACACAUGCAUACAUCCAACUGGCCUCAUGAAUCCCGAACCAUCAAAUGAACAGAGCACCAAUGGCCUCACCUUUUCCCCUUCCUGGUGGAGUGAGUCCUUCACUGGGAGUGUAUAUCCUGUAUAUGAGAUGGAUCCAUUCAGCAGCUGGUCUUGUGCUCCCCAGCUUAUGGCACUUGGACACAUGAAGGCUCCGGGGAGACGUUAUAGUGGCAUUUGCAGUGCUUACAGAGCACCUACAGGAGAGAUGAAGAGGGGAUUCUUCAUCAAGGGUUGCAGUGACAGGACAAGGGCUAAUGGUUUUCAGCUAAAUGAGGAUAGGUUAAAGUUAGAUAUAAGAAAUAAAUUCUUCAUAAUGAGGGUGAUGAGGUCCUGGCAUAGGAUCCCCAGAGAAGCUGUGGAUGUCCCAUCUCUUGAAGUGCUCAAGGCCAGCUUAGAUGUGGCCCUGGGCAAUUUGACCUAGUGGAAGGUGUCCACACACAUGGCAGCAGAGUGGGAACUAGAUGGUCUUUAAAAUUGCAUCCAAUAAAAACAAUUCAAUGAUUCUGUGAUUCUAAAUGCAGAGCAGGGCCAGAAAAGUGCAUUCAACAGUGCUUGCUUAAAUACAAAUUAAUCCUUUUAUUUCCUUGUGUCUCUGUUUCCCCCAUUUUUCCCUACCCAAAUGACCUAAAUCCCUCCUUUUUUUUUUUUCUUACCUUUGAUCCUGCCCCUAAACAUCCUACAGUAAAUCCUGUGCAAUCCCAACUGUCCUUCCCUGCAUCCCAUAAUGUGUCUCAUGCCAAGGCAGCAACUGUCUGAAGUCCAAGUUGUUUCAGAGAACUGCUCCCAGUGUCUCACAGUGGUGAGUUUCACAACUGGAUGCCAGGGCUCUGGAUCUGCUGGCACAACCCUGGGAGGGUCCCAGACAGAAUGCCCCUUCCUGUGAGUCUUUGAGUCCCCCUAUCUGCCUUUGAUGGGUCUUUGAUGGGCUGGUGGCACCUGGGCCAGGGAGUGGUUUGGCAGGACUCCCCCCUCCUUAUUCCCUCUGAGGUUCAUUUGUAGGUCUGCAGACCAGCUUUUGUCAUAUACUGAGUUUAUCUUGUAACUAUACUGAGCUAAAAUUUAGUAAGACAAAAAAAAAAAAAUAGCUGCAUGAGACUAGAAGAGCCAUCCCAUCCUAAAUAUUUGCCUUCUGAGACAAAUUUGAUAUCCGGUCUGCUUUGGUUUUAAGUAUAUAUUAUAGCUCUGGCUAGUCUAUUACAGAUAUAAUUUACAUGUUAGGUCACUUCAUGUCCUAUCUGUCAGAACACACUAUCAUCACUACACAAAAGAUGUUUUCCUGUUUCUUUGAGAGAGUGCAGGAUGACAACAUCUCUUGAAUAAAUUUUGGUGGAUGAUAGAUAAUUUCAUCACCAAAAUUACAUCAAUUAUCAUCCUGUCUGCAUUUGUUAGUUUCGGGGGCGAGUUAGAGAGGAAAUGUGAUGAUGUUAUGUCAGUGGGUGUAAAAGCAGCUUUCAGUUCCUAAGCACUUCAUAAAAGUAAUGC